AUACGGAGGAUCCGAGCGUUAUCCGGAUUUAUUGGGUUUAAAGGGAGCGUAGGCGGACGCUUAAGUCAGUUGUGAAAGUUUGCGGCUCAACCGUAAAAUUGCAGUUGAUACUGGGUGUCUUGAGUACAGUAGAGGCAGGCGGAAUUCCGGGGGUAGCGGUGAAAUGCUUAGAUAUCACGAAGAACUCCGAUUGCGAAGGCAGCCUGCUGGACUGUAACUGACGCUGAUGCUCGAAAGUGUGGGUAUCAAACAGGAUUAGAUACCCUGGUAGUCCACACAGUAAACGAUGAAUACUCGCUGUUUGCGAUAUACAGUAAGCGGCCAAGCGAAAGCGUUAAGUAUUCCACCUGGGGAGUACGCCGGCAACGGUGAAACUCAAAGGAAUUGGCGGGG
This 393-nucleotide ribosomal RNA is filed under the name uncultured bacterium. RNAcentral describes it as "partial 16S ribosomal RNA". It matches the Rfam family "Bacterial small subunit ribosomal RNA", at positions 523 to 918 of the family's 1533-position model. The record is from RNAcentral.